This is a long non-coding RNA of Aedes albopictus (Asian tiger mosquito), 8740 nucleotides long. RefSeq lists it as uncharacterized. Lineage: Eukaryota; Metazoa; Arthropoda; Insecta; Diptera; Culicidae. The transcript is spliced from 2 exons. The record is from RefSeq and is a predicted model, not a curated record.
GAGAUGGCUCAGUACAAUACAAUUUGGUUUGACGACAUGACUCCAAGGAUGGGAAAAAAUCAUUCAUUUAUUGCGCAUCCCUCACUCACAACCACGCACAAUCUGAUGCGAGUGUGCUUGUCCCCCAGCCAAGCAAAAUCUUUCCACAUUCAUUGCCUAUUCUUUUCAAUCGCCGAGCACCGGGCGACGCAAGCAACGACGGCCGAUUGAAUCGCUACUGAAUCUGUGUGCCGAAGACGAACGAACCAAUAUUGAACGAAUGUUUGCAUACUGAAUCGGGUGCGAGAGCAUUCGUUUUGGAACGUUCACUCAGCGUUCAGUGGCGGCAUUCAGUACUGGAAAUUGAAUCAGUGAGCGCGUUUUGAUUCAAUCAGCUGAAUGCCACUCGGUAGUUGAGAGAGCGAACGUUCUUUCCGUAUACACCGAUCCUAGCUGAUUCAUUUCACACUCUAUUUGUAUCUCUCCUGAUUCGCUUCGGUGGCGUCGGUGGCGAGCCGUUCGUUUGCGUUCGUUCAUGGUGCGCCGUGCUCUCACUCAGUAUUGGGUUGUUGGCGUUCUUUUGGCUAUUUUGCAUCGCCGGCAUUCGGGUGAGCGAAUGAGUUUUCCCAUGCUUGCAUGACUCCAAACUAUUCCAGUAUUGUCUGUGUUGAGUGGCAGCCCAGGUGUGAAUCUGAAGCUUUACCCAACACUUCGAUAUCGGAAUAGCUGGCUCAGGGCCAAUGCGGUCAUGUGAUGCUCCAGUGCGAGCUAACUCAUCAGCCAAUUCAUUUCCAGCGAUGAAAGAAUGGCCAGGUACCCAUACAAGGUGAACAGCGUUUGCUGAAUUCAGCUCCUCGAUUUGAGUUCGACAAGCGAUAACUACCUUCGACCUAGAGUUGGCCGAAGCAAGUGCUCCAGAACAUCGCCAUUAAGCACAUCCUUUGGAGAUGGCCUAAUUUUGAUUGGACCGUUCUCACUUCGCCCUUUUGCCACCACACAAGACAUCCAUAAGCCAAUAUUGGCUGAACCACAGUUGUGUAAAUCCAUUUGAUAUACUUGGGUUUUAGACCCCAAGUUGUACCAAAAGUACGCCGGCAUUGCCCGAAGGCCAUACAAGCUUUCUUGAUUCUGAACUCAAUGUGAGGUGUCCAGGAAAGCUUGGAAUUAAGAAUGACUCCAACGUACUUUACCUGUUCAGUCACAUCGAUUUCAGAAUCAAAGAGACGCAAAGGUCGAACGCCAUUACGGUUUCGCCUUUCCGUGAAAAGAGCAAUAGAUGUUUUACUCGGAUUAACCGAAAGGCCAUAUUGGCGACACCAACCCUCAACUACCUGAAGGGCGCUUUGCAUCAGGUCGAAAAGGGUGCUGAUGCACCUACCAACUAACAAUGUUAGGUAGUCGUCGGCAAAACCAUAAGUAGGAAAACCGCUAUUAUUGAGUUGCCUCAAUAGCGUAUCUGCUACGAGAUUCCACAAAAGCGGUGAUAAGACUCCCCCUUGGGGGCAUCCACAAACACUCAAUUUCCUAAUCCCUGCUAGACGCAAUGUCGAGAAGAGAUAUCGGUUUUUGAGCAUUUGGUGAAUCCAAUUGGAAAUCAUUGGAGAUAUACCAUGACUCCGUGCGGCUUCCAAUAUGGCAUCGAAAAGCACGUUGUCAAAGGCACCCUCGAUAUCUAAGAAAACACCCAGACAAGGCUGCUUUUGAGCGAAUGCUUUCUCGAUAUCGUAAACAACCUUGUGUAAAAGAGUCACAGUGGACUUACCAGUUUGGUAGGCAUGUUGGUUCACAUGAAGAGGCCCAUUGGCCAAAUGAACAUCACGGAUGUGAUGAUCGACAAUGCGUUCUAAGCAUUUCAGAAGAAAAGAGGUCAAACUGAUAGGUCUGAAACUCUUUGCUUCUUCAUACGACGCACGACCCACUUUUGGAAUAAACUUUACAGUAAUAUCCCGCCAGGAUUUGGGAAUAUACCCUGUAACAAAACUGCAAACAAGUAGUUUUUUCAAAACAUGUUUGAAAUAAUCAAAUCCCUUCUGAAGCAAAAUAGGAUAAAUCCCAUCUGCCAAGGAGAUUUGAAAGGAGCAAAGCUAUUAAGAGCCCACUCAAUCGAUUCUAUAGUUACAAUACUCCGAGCCAAAGCUAAAGAAUCAUAACUACAAGAAAAGACAUCCGGUUCAUCCGAAGAUGUAAUAUCCACACAUCCAGGGAAGUGUGUGCUGAAUAAGCAUUCCAGAACUUCCUCAUCAGAGGAAGUCAGAUCGCCAUUUGGCAAACGAAGUUCGUUCACCCAUAAACCCUUAGAUUUCGCAAGGAUUUUGUUUAACCGACUGACUUCACUCAAGCUGGAAACAUUUGUACAAAGGUUUUUCCAGCCAGAUCGUUCAGCAGACCGGAGAGCUUUCCUGUAGGCCUUGCGAGCCGACCUGAAAGCCUCCGAACCAGCCGAACGUCGUCUGUUCGCAUCAUCUAAAUCACUUGAAGUGUCAAUGGAUGGUGAGUAUCCAUGAAAUUUGGCCGCAACCAAAUCAGUAAAAAGAUCCCAGUUUGUUGACCGAGGAUUCCUGAAACGCAAUGUUUGCGAAGUAACAUUUAAAUGUUCAAAAAAGAUAUAGCAAUGGUCAGAUAAAGAUUCUUCAUCUGACACAUGCCAAUUGGUCAGCUCGUGGCUAAUUCUGCUAGAGCAAAGCGUUAUAUCUAACACUUCCUCUCUAGCAGAUACCAUGAAAGUUGGGCGGUUGCCUAUGUUAAGUAAUGCAAGAUCUGUACUACUUAAGUACUCCAUCAAGCUGGAGCCUCUCAAGUUAAUGUCUGAGCUGCCCCAGUUUAUAUGGUGAGCAGUAUAUUAGCAUCACUGCCAACAAUUAGCGGAAGGCCUUUUGAAGUACAGUAUGCAAUGACUUGUUUGAAAGCAUCCGUAGGGGAUGGUUCAUCAUGCGGUAAAUAAACCGAACAAUAGACGUAUUUCCUGUUGAGGUUUCCAACAGAUACAUCAAUUGUGAUAGCACAUACAUCUCUGGUGGUUAGUUAAGAGAUGAGUGUAGCAACUAUUGCGUUGUUGACAAGCACACAGGCUCGAGGCAUGACACGCGAGUUUGCCAUUUCAUGUUUACUGAAAGUUGCAAAAACCGGGUUCACAAGGUUUCCUAGAUAGAAAUUUCCCUUACGAAAGUAAGGUUCUUGUACCAAGGCCACUUGGGCUGUACCAUUUUGCAUAAGUCUGCAAAGAUUGAUCGUUGCUGUUCUUUUAUGCUGAAGAUUGAUCUGAGCUAUCCUAACCGUAGCCACUACCCAAACUAGGUAAGAUUAAACUCUUCGCAACGACAGCACAACAAAGAACAGCAACAAUAAAACCAAAUCGGUAUCGAUUGGUAUUGCGGAGAAACAUAUUAUAUCCAUUCGCGAUGUGGUACGUGGUGGAUGGCAACACUGAGAUGAGUGAACUGCUGAUAGGGCAGUAAUAUUAACGAGUAGGAAUGAAAGGAGGAUUGUUUUCAAUUGUAUUCGAUAUCAUCUCCAAAAGCAUCUGUUGAAUUGUUGAAGUUAAGAAGUAGAUGCAAUAAAGAAAUUAGUUAAAUUAGCAUCCUGAAAUUGUGCUGCGACGUCUCCUAUGUCAACAAGCGAUUUUCGGCAUCUGGACUGAGGUUGUACGAAGAGAGUAGUCAGGAUUCACGCGUUGCGUAAAGCCAAAAAGUGAGUAGGACAGUUUAGACGAUGGGAAUCGAUUUGUAACCUAGGAGUCUUUACAGUACAGUAUCGUUGGAUAAAAUCCUGCCUAGGACGGCUCAUUUGGUGUGGGUCGUAAUAUUAUUGGAUUAUAGGGUGACCAAUGUAAGUUUGAAGAAAUUUGAAACGAUGAAUAGUGCUAAUUCAAUAAACUUAGCUUUUAGCAUAUCUCCACCAAAGACCCGGUGUGUGACGCUCAGAAGACCCCGAAAACUCCCCCUACAAUUGGAAAACGCCAAAGGCGAGGAUACACAGAAUAAAAUGUGUAAAUCGCAUAAUGGGAAACCAUAGAGGUGAAAAUUUAAACUAAUUAACAACAUCUUCAUAAUCCCGCCCUUAUUUAGCCUCAAGUGAGACUAAAGAAGGGCAGCUGAUUGUCUCGGAGAAACACAAGGUCCACUGCACCAUUGCUCCGGUUAGCGCAGUAAGGGCUACAUACUGUGGAGGGCGCCCUGGUACUCCACAGGCUCCGUUAGCGGUUAGGUUUUUAUUAGACCCCCCUAGCCAUUCAUUCCUAGGCACGGUAAGCAUAAAGCCGCAUCACACCAUGAAUUAGGGGUCACCUGUUGGUGGAUUCUUACCACCGGAACAGGCGGUCCGUAGUGUUAUUCUUAGCCAAUUGAGACAAUCGCUACCGACUGAUCGAGAAAAGAAGUUAAUAUUGAUGAUCAACUUCAUACGGACUCGAACAGCCGCUUCGCAACAUGUCAAUUUUGACUAGCUUAAUAAUUGUAAAAUACUCUUUCGAGUGCAGCUUGUUUUUUAGGAUGGUAAUUCCCGUACCUAGAAAAGCUCCUAGGUUAGGUUAUUUUUUUUUUUCAAAAACAUACGAUAACUGUGAUCCACUAGCCUCUGCCCAGCAACGCCUAUUCGGUACCGGCCGGAAACUACGAGCAACCUUAGGGAAGAUCGGGUUACCAACCCCGGUGGAAACUUUGGUCGUUGGCUUACAGGGAAGCGGGGGAAGGGGGGGUUUACUUCUACAAACCUGAGCGUCUGUUCUCCAGGAGGAGCGACUCACAACAGCGUCUGAUCCCCAUGUUAGGGGCCGAUGAUCAGCCGUCCGAGUGCCAGGGAAGGACUCUAAGGUCAACUGUGCGCUAUGGUCCUCCGGAAAGUAGGGGGUUGGUGUCAGGCCCUACGAGCCAGCCGUAAAAAAAAACCAUUGUAACGGAAAAUCAGCAACAGAAUAACACGAACCGAGACCAAUGGCAACGACCUAAGCGAACAAAAAGGACUUGCGAUUGGAAACUCGGUACGUGGAACUGCCGAUCUUCAUUGGGAGCACCUGCAUACUCGCUGAUCUACUGAAGGACCGCGGGUUCGGCAUCGUAGCGCUGCAGGAGGUGUGUUGGACGCAUUCCAUGGUGCGAAUGUUUAGAGGUAAUCAUACCAUCUACUAGAGCUGCGGCAACACACGCGAACUGAAAACGGCUUCCAUCGUGAUGAAUGAUAUGCAGAGGCGCGUUAUCGGUUGGUGGCCGAUCGACGAAAGAAUGUGCAGGUUGAGGAUCAAGGGCCGAUUCUUCAACUUCAGCACGAAAAACGUGCAUAGCCCACACUCCAGAAGCACUGAUGAUGACAAGGACGCAUUUUACGUGCAGCUCGAACGCGAGUACGACCGCUGCCCAAGCCAAGACGUCAAGAUCAUCAUAGGAGAUUUAAACGCUCAGGUAGGCCAGGAGGAGAAGUUCAGACCGACGAUUGGCAAGUUCAGCGUCCACCAGCAGACGAACGAAAACGGCCUACGACUCAUUGAUUUCACCGCCUCCAAUACAGCCUCUCUUAUCGUUAUACCUGGAGAUCACCACAGCAAAUCGACCACGUUCUGAUUGACGGAUGGCACUUCUCCGACAUUAUCGACGUGGCGCCAACAUCGACUCCGACCACUAUCUGGUGAUGAUCAAAUUGCGCCCAAAACUCUCCGUCAUCAACAAUGUACGAUACCGGCGACCACCACGGUACAACCUAGAGCGACUGAAGCAACCGGAUGUCGCCACAGCACACACGCAUAUUCUUGAGGCCGCGUUGCCAGACGAGGGUGAGCUCGAUGAGGCCCCUCUAGAGGACUGCUGGAGUACAGUGAAAGCAGCCAUCAACGACGCAGCCGAGAGCACCAUCGGGUACGUGGAACGGAAUCGACGGAACGAAUGAUUCGACGAAGAGUUUGGAACGGGUUUUGGAGGAGAAGAAUGCAGCGAGGGCGGUAAUGCUGCAGCAAGGGACUCGACAGAACGUGGAACAUUACAAACAGAAGCGGAAACAGCAGAUCCGCGUCAUUCGGGAGAAAGAAGCGCCGCCUGGAAAAAGCGGAGUGCGAUGAAACCGAACAGCUACCGGAGGAGUGGAAGGAAGUGGUAAUCUGCCCCAUUUACAAGAAAGGCGACCAUUUGGAAUGUGAGAACUUCAGGCCGAUCACUAUUUUGAAUGCUGCCUACAAAGUGCUAUCCCAGAUCAUCUUCCGUCGUCUGUCACCUAAAACAAAUGAGUUCGUGGGAAGUUAUCAAGCCGGCUUCAUAGAUGGCCGGUCGACAACGGACCAGAUCUUUACCGUACGGCAAAUCCUCCAGAAAUGCCGUGAAUACCAGGUCCCAACGCAUCACCUGUUCAUCGACUUCAAAGCGGCAUACGACAGUAUCGACCGCGCAAAGCUAUGGAGAAUCAUGGACGAAUACGGCUUUCCUGGGAAGCUGACUAGACUGAUUAAAGCAACGAUGGACGGUGUGCAAAACUACGUAAGGGUUUCGGGUGAACUAUCUAGUUCAUUCGAAUCUCGCCGGGGACUGCGACAAGGUGACGGACUCUCAUGCCUACUCUUCAACAUCGCUCUGGAAGGUGUGAUGCGACGAGAUGGGCUCAACAGCCGGGGAACGAUUUUCACAAAAUCCGGCCGAUUUGUGUGCUUUGCGGACGACAUAGACAUUAUCGCUUGAACAUUUGGAACGGUGGCAGAGCUGUACACCCGCCUGAAACGCGAAGCAGCAAAGGUUGGACUGGUGGUGAAUGCCUCAAAAACAAAGUACAUGCUGGUAGGCGGAACCGAACACGACCGGAUCCGUUUGGGUAAUAAGGUUACGAUAGACGGGGAUACUUUCGAGGUGGUAGAGGAAUUCGUCUAUCUUGGAUCCUUACUGACGGCUGACAACAACGUGAGCCGUGAAAGUGGGAGGCGCAUCAUCAGCGGAAGUCGGGCCUACUACGGGCUCCAGAAGAAACUGCGGUCGAAAAAGAUUCCCCCACGCAUCAAAUGCACCAUGUACAAAACGCUAAUAUUUAAGACCGGUGAUCCUCUAUGGACACGAGACAUGGACCAUGCUCGAGGAGCGCAAGGUUUUUUUGCAUCUUUUUUUUCUGACUUUUGUACACUGCCAAACGUUUGGUAAGUCCGUUUAAUCAGUUAAUUGAGUUGGGUGAGUAGUAAAUAUGUAUAAUUGAAGUAACGUCAUUAAAUAUAUACGGGUUUGAAUCAACUAUGAACACUUUAGGGAAAGUUUUUGUAGGUAUUUAAGCGAUAUUGUUGAAUCUGAACAUGGAUUUCUAUGAAAUUUCUCAGUAUAAAACAUCCAAUCGAGAUUUCUCGAGAUUCCUCCUAGGGAUUAUUUUAAAAAUUUGCCCAGAGGUGCAGAAUGGCACCAGGAUUCGAUCCCUGAACUUAGUUUUGAUGGACAUUUUUAUUUUAUAAUAACGGUCUGUGGGGGCACCGUGGGAGCACCUACAAGCACUCGGAGUUUUCGAGCGACGCGUGCUACGAACGAUCUUCGGCGGUGUGCAAGAGAACGGUGUGUGGCGGAGAAGGAUGAACCACGAGCUCGCUGCACUUUACGGCGAACCCAGCAUCUAGAAGGUGGCCAAAGCCGGAAGGAUACGGUGGGCAGGGCAUGUUGCAAAAACGCCGGACAACAACCCUGCAAAGCUGGUGUUUGCAACUGAUCCGGUUGGCACAAGAAGGCGUGGGCGGACCAGGUGGAACGUGACCUGGCGAGCAUUGGUUGCGACCGAAAAUGGAGAGCGGCAGCCACAAACCGAGUAUUGUGGCGUACUAUUGUUGAUUAUGUCUUGUCUUAAAUGUGAUGUUGAACAAAUAAAAGUAUGUAUGUAUGUAAUUUUGUUUUGAAAGUUAACAUUACAAGUGAGCACCAUGUGUACCACUUACAAUACAUUGAAAAUUUGUAAUUAUCAAUGUGUAUAUGAUAGAAUUUACCUCCAGCAAGCUUAAGCACAAGCAGAUGGAGGUGAUCAUUGCGAAACGCAAACGUGAGAGUGUUUUGAGUUAUCUAAUAAACCUUAAUAAUCUUCACAAAAUGUGCAUUUCUUCGCAUUAGUCGACCAAAACUCAUAAAAAUUGUCCAAAACAUGUACAUCCCUGUAUGUUUGGAAGCUGAAAUAUUGUUGUAUUGUAGAUUAAUAGCAUUCAUUCUUGCUUACAGAUAGUUUUUGUGGUUUAGGGAUAAUGUUAUCCAUUAUUCUAACUAUGAAAAAUAAACUCGCCCCACAUCACCCUAAAAUAGAUAAAACUCAUGUCAAAAUAAAUUUCAUAUGUCGAAAACAUCACAAUAACAUACACCAAGAAGCAAAACGUAUGAAAAUUUGGCGAAAUUUUGAAGUUUCGAAAUUAAUUUCUAAGUGGAUUUUUUUUUUCGAUCAUACUCAAUUUUUAAGCAAUUUUCCCAAUCUUAUCAAAAAUCACUUUAUUCCUCAAAAACCAAAUAUUUUCCAACAAAGAUUACUAAAACAAUGUAAAAUGGAUGUAGUGCAUUAAUUAGAAAGGUAUAUUUUAUCAUUUUUGCAUGCAGUUUUCAUUAGAAACUGUAACCACUAUGGGGUGGAUCUUUUUUGUGCCGGUCACUGUACCUAUGAACGCAUAAAUGUCCCAUAUGAAUAGGAAUGCCAGCAAAUAUGGGAUUGAUGUGCGAUCAUAGGCUUGGAAAUCUUGCAUGAGCCUUUUGUGCUCUGAAAUGGUGUUAAUGAGACCUUAUUACGCCUAUCACAGUGCUUACCGGUUACCUACACCGUGUCCAAUAAGUUCUCAUACAAAAUCAAA